This 253-nucleotide ribosomal RNA is filed under the name uncultured bacterium. RNAcentral's name for it is "partial 16S ribosomal RNA". It matches the Rfam family "Bacterial small subunit ribosomal RNA", at positions 524 to 776 of the family's 1533-position model. The record is from RNAcentral.
UACGGAGGGUGCAAGCGUUAAUCGGAAUUACUGGGCGUAAAGCGUGCGUAGGCGGUUCGUUAAGUCUGUUGUGAAAGCCCCGGGCUCAACCUGGGAAUGGCAAUGGAUACUGGCGAGCUAGAGUGUGUCAGAGGAUGGUGGAAUUCCCGGUGUAGCGGUGAGAUGCGUAGAGAUCGGGAGGAACAUCAGUGGCGAAGGCGGCCAUCUGGGACAACACUGACGCUGAGGCACGAAAGCGUGGGGAGCAAACAGG